Molecule: unclassified non-coding RNA, 298 nt
Organism: Oncorhynchus tshawytscha (Chinook salmon)
Lineage: Eukaryota; Metazoa; Chordata; Actinopteri; Salmoniformes; Salmonidae
Rfam family: Metazoan signal recognition particle RNA
About the family: The signal recognition particle (SRP) is a universally conserved ribonucleoprotein. It is involved in the co-translational targeting of proteins to membranes.
Source: Ensembl
GCCGGGCGCAGUGGCGUGCGCCUGUAAUCCAAGUUGCUGGGAGGCUUAGGCUGGCGGAUCGUUUGAGCUCAGGAGUUCUGAGCUCCAGUGGACUAUGCCGAUCGGGUGUCCGCACUAAGUUCGGUAUCGAUAUGGUGCUCCUGGGGAGCCCGGGACCACCAGGUCGUCUAAGGAGGGGUGCACCGGCCCAGGUCGGAAACGGAGCAGGCCAAAGCCCCCGUGCCGCUCAGUAGUGGGAUCGCGCCUGUGAAUAGACGCUGUGGUGCAGCCUGAGCAAUAUAGCGGGACACAGUCUUUU